UUGGCCUACGGGACGCAGCAGUGGGGGAUAUUGCACAAUGGGGGAAACCCUGAUGCAGCGACGCCGCGUGUGGGAGACGGUCCUCUGGAUUGUAAAACACUGUCCCCAGGGGCGAAGACGACGGUACCCGGGGAGGAAGCUCCGGCUAACUACGUGCCAGCAGCCGCGGUAAUACGUAGGGAGCAAGCGUUGUCCGGAAUUACUGGGUGUAAAGGGAGCGUAGGCGGGAUGGCAAGUAGAAUGUUAAAUCCAUCGGCUCAACCGGUGGCUGCGUU
Molecule: ribosomal RNA, 275 nt
Filed under: uncultured bacterium
Lineage: Bacteria
Description: partial 16S ribosomal RNA
Rfam family: Bacterial small subunit ribosomal RNA
Source: RNAcentral